GACGAACGCUGGCGGCGUGCUUAACACAUGCAAGUCGAGCGGUAAGGCCCUUUCGGGGGUACACGAGCGGCGAACGGGUGAGUAACACGUGGGUGACCUGCCCUUAGCUCUGGGAUAAGCCUGGGGAAACUGGGUCUAAUACCGGAUAUGACUCCAUGACGCAUGUUGUGGGGUGGAAAGCCUUGUGCGGCGUAGGGAUCGGGGCCCGCGGCCUAU
Molecule: ribosomal RNA, 216 nt
Filed under: uncultured bacterium
Lineage: Bacteria
Description: partial 16S ribosomal RNA
Rfam family: Bacterial small subunit ribosomal RNA
Source: RNAcentral